RNAcentral lists this ribosomal RNA (399 nucleotides) under uncultured bacterium. RNAcentral describes it as "bacterial SSU rRNA". It matches the Rfam family "Bacterial small subunit ribosomal RNA", at positions 357 to 773 of the family's 1533-position model. The record is from RNAcentral.
GGGAAUUUUGCGCAAUGGGGGAAACCCUGACGCAGCAACGCCGCGUGGAGGAUGAAGUCUCUUGGGACGUAAACUCCUUUCGACAGGGACGAUAAUGACGGUACCUGUAGAAGAAGCCCCGGCUAACUUCGUGCCAGCAGCCGCGGUAAUACGAGGGGGGCAAGCGUUGUUCGGAAUUAUUGGGCGUAAAGGGCGCGUAGGCGGUUUGGCAAGUUUCGUGUGAAAUCUUCGGGCUCAACUCGAAGUCUGCACGGAAAACUGCCGGGCUUGAGUAUGGGAGAGGUGAGUGGAAUUUCCGGUGUAGCGGUGAAAUGCGUAGAUAUCGGAAGGAACACCUGUGGCGAAAGCGGCUCACUGGACCAUAACUGACGCUGAGGCGCGAAAGCUAGGGGAGCAAAC